AGAGUUUGAUCAUGGCUCAGAACGAACGCUGGCGGCGUGGAUAAGACAUGCAAGUCGAACGAGACUUUUUCUGGUAGCAAUACCGGGAAAAGUUUAGUGGCGAACGGGUGCGUAACACGUGGGCAAUUUGCCUUAAAGUGGGGGAUAGCUCGGCGAAAGCCGAAUUAAUACCGCAUGUGAUCAGCUGAGACAUCUUAGCGACAUCAAAGCCGGGGCAACCUGGCGCUUUUAGAGGAGCCCGCGGCCUAUCAGCUAGUUGGUGAGGUAACGGCUCACCAAGGCUAUGACGGGUAGCUGGUCUGAGAGGACGACCAGCCACACUGGAACUGAGACACGGUCCAGACACCUACGGGUGGCAGCAGUCGAGAAUUUUUCUCAAUGGGGGAAACCCUGAAGGAGCGACGCCGCGUGGAGGAUGAAGGCUUUCGGGUUGUAAACUCCUGUCAUUUGGGAACAAGGUGCACCGGUUAACUGCCGGAGUAUUGAUAGUACCAGAAGAGGAAGAGACGGCUAACUCUGUGCCAGCAGCCGCGGUAAUACAGAGGUCUCAAGCGUUGUUCGGAUUCAUUGGGCGUAAAGGGUGCGUAGGUGGCGCGCUAAGUCAGGUGUGAAAUUUCGGAGCUUAACUCCGAAACUGCAUUUGAUACUGGUGUGCUUGAGGACUGGAGAGGAGACUGGAAUUCAUGGUGUAGCAGUGAAAUGCGUAGAGAUCAUGAGGAAGACCAGUGGCGAAGGCGGGUCUCUGGACAGUUCCUGACACUGAGGCACGAAGGCCAGGGGAGCAAACGGGAUUAGAUACCCCCGUAGUCC
RNAcentral lists this ribosomal RNA (810 nucleotides) under uncultured bacterium. RNAcentral's name for it is "bacterial SSU rRNA". It matches the Rfam family "Bacterial small subunit ribosomal RNA", at positions 8 to 796 of the family's 1533-position model. The record is from RNAcentral.